Molecule: long non-coding RNA, 1071 nt
Organism: Equus caballus (horse)
Lineage: Eukaryota; Metazoa; Chordata; Mammalia; Perissodactyla; Equidae
Source: RefSeq, a predicted model, not a curated record
CCGGGCUGCCGAAGCGGAAUGUGCACACUUAACUGCUGCGCCACCGGGCCAGCCCCUCAGCUGUGUCUUUUAUUUGGGAACUGAGGGCUGGCGGUCUUGAUCCCAAAGUCACCCGUGUAGGCAGCCCAGUGGCUGCGCAGACAGCACGGGACCCCUGGCCUCGCUCUCCUGCCUCUGGUCUAGACAAGCUGCCCGAUGCCCCUGCCCUUCAGAGCUGGCUGCAGGACAGGCUGGGCAGAGGGCAGCCCAUCCACAGCCUGCCCGCUGGACGGGCUCGGACUGCCUCCCUCUUCUCUGGACAUGGAGGCAGCAGCCACAGCCGGCGGGACUGACAGCCGCCUGCUCUGCUCCCUGCGUCUUCAAGGGCCCUGCCUGCCCUCCUGGGACGUCAUGGCCCCCUGGUAUCUGGACCUGAGCCAUCCUGAAAGGCCCUGGCUGCCAUCGGGGCCCGGGGCUUCAGUGACCUUGAAACCUUGCUCCCUGACCCCCCAGCACUUUGGGGAAGAAGUUUCUCCAUUCUCUCUGCUAGUGUGAGCACACGGGGCCCUUCCAGGUGAGUACAGAGCAGACGCCCCAUUGCCGCUCCGUCUGGGAGAAACGGCUCGGACUUAUAUGAAUUUUUAUUUUUAAUACCUGGUUAAACCCGGGUCCUUUCAGGUCCGAGGCAGUCACAGCAAUUCUGUCGUCUGAUUUAACACAGUCCCUGUAGGGUGGAGAGCCCAGCGUGGAAGGGGAAGUGUUUGAGACGUGCACAUCCAUCUUGCUGUUUUCCAGAAAGGAGCAGGGACCAGCUGGGCUGUGGCCAGAAGGAGAGAUUUAUGUUCUGUCCAGUGAGAGCCUCUCCAAAUCACUCUCCUGAUACUGUCUUCUGGGACCCCAGGAGUAUAAAGAACUAGGCCUUUUUAACGUUAUUUCUCUUGUGUUCAACACAAACCUGACGCACAGUGGCACUUAAGAAAUAUUGGUUAAAAAAUGGAACCAAGCCCAGAGGUCACCUCCUCCAAGAAGCCGUCUCCAGCCCUACCAGGUUGAAUGAAGUGCCCCUUCCCCAGAUUAAAAAGUAUACCAGGA